This 1605-nucleotide long non-coding RNA is filed under the name Gallus gallus (chicken). RNAcentral describes it as "lncRNA (ENSGALG00010019095.1)". Lineage: Eukaryota; Metazoa; Chordata; Aves; Galliformes; Phasianidae. The record is from RNAcentral.
UCUCAUUGGAAAACCCCAAGUUAAGCGAAAAUCAUUCAUUUACUCUUUGAAAAUCCUUCAUUUUAGCGAAAACAAUCCAUUUUUUCUUUGAAAAUCCCCCAUUUAACCUGAAAAUCACCUGUUUUCUCUUCGAAAAUUCCCCAUUUCACCCCAAAAUCAUGCCGUUUCUCUUUGAAAAUCCCCCAUUUAACCCGAAAAUCACUCAUUUUCUCUUCGAAAAUCCAUCAUUUACGCAGAAAUCACCCAUUUUCUCUUCAAAAACCCCCCAUUUAUCCCCAAAAUCACUCAUUUUCUCUUCGAAAAUCCGUCAUUUACGCAAAAAUCACCCAUUUUCUCUUCAAAAAUCCCCCAUUCAUCCCCAAAAUCAUGCAUUUUCUCUUCAAAAAUCCCUCAUUUACGCAAAAAUCACCCAUUUUCUCUUCAGAAAUCCCCCAUUUAUCCCCCAAAUCAUGCAUUUUCUCUUCGAAAAAAACCGAUUUAAGCAAAAAUCACUCAUUUUCUCUUAAAAAAAUUCCCAUUUAACCCAAAAAUCACGCAUUUUUUCUUUGAAAGUCCCCUAUUUAACCCGAAAAUCACCCGUUUUAUUUUCGAAAAACCCCAUUUACGCAAAAAACAACCAUUUUCCCUUCAAAAGUUAUCCAUUUAACUAGAAAAUCAUGCAUUUUCUCUUUGAAAAUCCCCCAUUUAACCCCAAAAUCACCCAUUUUCCCUUCGAGAAUCCAUCAUUUACACAAAAAUCACCCAUUUUCUCUUUGAUAAUCCCUCAUUUUAGUGAAAAUCUCCCAUUUUCUCAUUGAAAAACCCCAAGUUAAGCGAAAAUCAUUCAUUUACUCUUUGAAAAUCCUUCAUUUUAGCGAAAAUAAUCCAUUUUUUCUUUGAAAAUCGCCCAUUUACCACAAAAAUCACCUGUUUUCUUUUCAAAAAUCCCCCAUUUAUGCAGAAAUCACCCAUUUUCUCUUUGAAAAUCCCCUAUUUAACCCGAAAACCACCCGUUUUCUUUUCGAAAAUCCCCCAUUUACGCAAAAAACAACCAUUUUCUCUUCAAAAAUUAUCCAUUUAACUAGAAAAUCAUGCAUUUUCUCUUUGAAAAUCCCCCAUUUAACCCCAAAAUCACCCAUUUUCCCUUCGAGAAUCCCUCAUUUACGCAAAAAUCACUCAUUUUCUCUUUGAAAAUCCCCCAUUUAAGCAAAAAUCACCCGUUUUCUUUUCGAAAAUUCCCCAUUUAACCCCAAAAUCACCCAUUUUCUCUUUGAAAAUCCCCCAUUUUCCACAAAAAUCACCCAUUUUCUCUUCGAAAAUCCCUCAUUUACGCAAAAAUCACUUAUUUUCUCUUUGAUAAUCCCUCAUUUUAGUGAAAAUCACCCAUUUUCUCAUUGAAAAUCCCCAAUUUAAGCAAAAAUCAUUCAUUUACUCUUUGAAAAUCCUUCAUUUUAGCGAAAAUAAUCCAUUUUUCUUUGAAAAUCUUCCAUUUAGCACAAUAAUCACCCGUUUUCUUUUUAAAAAUCCCUCAUUUAUGCAGAAAUCACCCAUUUUCUCUUCAAAAAUCCCCGAUUUAAGCGAAAAUCACCCAUUUUCUCUUUGAAAAUCCCCCAUUUAACCUGAAAA